ACUAAGGUCCUAAGAAAGGCUUGGGGGUGCUUAUAAGCCCCUGGAUCCCAUAAAGUCCCAGGCCCCAAGCCAACACGACUGAAUUGCUGCUCUAAUCUUCUAAAUGGGCCACAGGCUGCCAGUUUGAGGCUUCUAUCCCCCUUAAAAGCUGUCUUUGAUUUUUUUUUUAAUUGUGGUAAAAUAUACAGAUGGACCCUGACUUACAUUCAAUUUAUGACACUUCGACUUUAUGAUGAUGCAAAGUGAUACACAUUCAGAAGAAGCUGCACUUUGAAUUGUUUCUUUCAGUACAGUAUUCAAGAAAUUACAUGAGAUAUUCAACACUUCCUUAUAAAAUAGGCUUUGUGUUAAAUGAUUUUGCACAACUGUAGGCUAGUGUUAGUGUUCUGAGCACGUUUGAGGUGGGUGAGGCUGAGCUACAAUGUUAGGGACGUUAGGUGUAAUCAAUGCAUUUUUUACUUACGGUAUAUCUGAUUUACAGUUUAUUAAGACAUAACCCCAUGUGAAGCUGAGGAGCAUCUGUACAUAAGAUCUACCAUUUCAACCAUUUAAAAAUAUUUUUAUUUUUUAAACUGUGGCAAAAUAUACAUAUUAUUUUAGCCAUUUUAAGUGUACAGUUGAGUAGCAUUAAGUACACUGACACUGUUGUACAACCAUCACCACCAUCCAUCUUCAGAAUGACCCCAUCAUCCCCGGCCAAAACUCUGCAGCCAUUAAACAGCAACUCCCCCUUCCCUCUUCCCUCCAGGCCCUGGCAACCCACAUUCUACUUUCCAACUCUGUGAAUUCGACUACCCUAUCCCCCUUCCCUCCUCCCACCAGGCCCUGGCAACCCACAUUCUACUUUCUGUCUCUAUGAAUCUGACUACUCUAGGCACCUCAUCUAAGUGGAAUCAUACAGCAUUUGUCCUUUUGCAACUGGCUUAUUUCACUUAGCAUAAUAUCCUUCA
RNAcentral lists this long non-coding RNA (950 nucleotides) under Homo sapiens (human). RNAcentral describes it as "non-protein coding lnc-SCAND1-8:1". The record is from RNAcentral. Lineage: Eukaryota; Metazoa; Chordata; Mammalia; Primates; Hominidae.